Molecule: ribosomal RNA, 253 nt
Filed under: uncultured bacterium
Lineage: Bacteria
Description: partial 16S ribosomal RNA
Rfam family: Bacterial small subunit ribosomal RNA
Source: RNAcentral
UACGUAGGGUGCGAGCGUUGUCCGGAAUUAUUGGGCGUAAAGAGCUCGUAGGCGGUCUGUCGCGUCGAAUGUGAAAACCCGGGGCUCAACUCCGGGCUUGCAUUCGAUACGGGCAGGCUAGAGUUCGGUAGGGGAGUCUGGAAUUCCUGGUGUAGCGGUGAAAUGCGCAGAUAUCAGGAGGAACACCGGUGGCGAAGGCGGGACUCUGGGCCGAUACUGACGCUCAUGCACGAAAGCGUGGGGAGCAAACAGG